Molecule: ribosomal RNA, 277 nt
Filed under: uncultured bacterium
Lineage: Bacteria
Description: partial 16S ribosomal RNA
Rfam family: Bacterial small subunit ribosomal RNA
Source: RNAcentral
GAUGAACGCUGGCGGUAUGCCUAACACAUGCAAGUCGAACGAAGCUUUAGGGCUUAGUGGCGGACGGGUGAGUAACGCGUGAGAAUCUGCCUCGAGGAUGGGGACAACAGUUGGAAACGACUGCUAAUACCCAAUAUGGCGAAAGCUGAAAUAUAUUUUGCCUUGAGAGGAGCUCGCGUCCGAUUAGUUAGUUGGUGGGGUAAAAGCCUACCAAGGCAGCGAUCGGUAGCUGGUCUGAGAGGAUGAGCAGCCACACUGGGACUGAGACACGGCCCAG